AACGAACGCUGGCGGCAUGCCUAACACAUGCAAGUCGAACGAGAUCUUCGGGUCUAGUGGCGCACGGGUGCGUAACGCGUGGGAAUCUGCCCUUUGGUUCGGAAUAACAGUUGGAAACGACUGCUAAUACCGGAUGAUGACGAAAGUCCAAAGAUUUAUCGCCAGAGGAUGAGCCCGCGUAGGAUUAGCUAGUUGGUGUGGUAGAGGCGCACCAAGGCGACGAUCCUUAGCUGGUCUGAGAGGAUGAUCAGCCACACUGGGACUGAGACACGGCCCAGACACCUACGGGAGGCAGCAGUGGGGAAUAUUGGACAAUGGGCGAAAGCCUGAUCCAGCAAUGCCGCGUGAGUGAUGAAGCCCUUAGGGUUGUAAAGCUCUUUUACCCGGGAUGAUAAUGACAGUACCGGGAGAAUAAGCUCCGGCUAACUCCGUGCCAGCCGCCGCCGCGG
This 449-nucleotide ribosomal RNA is filed under the name uncultured bacterium. Its description in RNAcentral is "partial 16S ribosomal RNA". It matches the Rfam family "Bacterial small subunit ribosomal RNA", at positions 29 to 523 of the family's 1533-position model. The record is from RNAcentral.